Molecule: ribosomal RNA, 499 nt
Filed under: uncultured bacterium
Lineage: Bacteria
Description: partial 16S ribosomal RNA
Rfam family: Bacterial small subunit ribosomal RNA
Source: RNAcentral
GAUGAACGCUGGCGGCGUGCCUAAUACAUGCAAGUCGAGCGAACAGACGAGAGUGCUUGCACUCUCUGACGUUAGCGGCGGACGGGUGAGUAACACGUGGGUAACCUACCUAUAAGACUGGGAUAACUUCGGGAAACCGGAGCUAAUACCGGAUAAUAUUUAGCUUCGCAUGAAGCAAUAGUGAAAGACGGCUCUGCUGUCACUUAUAGAUGGACCCGCGGUGUAUUAGCUAGUUGGUGAGGUAACGGCUCACCAAGGCAACGAUACAUAGCCGACCUGAGAGGGUGAUCGGCCACACUGGGACUGAGACACGGACCAGACUCCUACGGGAGGCAGCAGUAGGGAAUCUUCCGCAAUGGACGAAAGUCUGACGGAGCAAUGCCGCGUGAGUGAAGAAGGUUUUCGGAUCGUAAAACUCUGUUGUAAGGGAAGAACAAGUACGUUAGUAACUGAACGUACCUUGACGGUACCUUACCAGAAAGCCACGGCUAACUACGUG